Long non-coding RNA from Hypanus sabinus (Atlantic stingray), 1992 nucleotides. RefSeq lists it as uncharacterized. The transcript has 5 exons. Lineage: Eukaryota; Metazoa; Chordata; Chondrichthyes; Myliobatiformes; Dasyatidae. The record is from RefSeq and is a predicted model, not a curated record.
AGUCAUUGCUCAGGAUUAUGCUGGUCACGAUGGAUAUUUGUUUUGGAUCAUUGCGUUAUCAAGAUGACACAGUUGACUGAGCCCAGUCACAAGAUAAGUGCGAAAAAUUAACCCCUGACUUUGGCAGAAGUGUCCAGGAUAUUACACAGACUGAAGGAGAUGUUGAAGAGAAUGAAUAUACCUUUUUUCAACAAUAUACAUUGACUUGAAGGUUGAAGCAAGCGAAGGAAAGAAUAGAACAAUGACUGAUAAUGUGAUAUGGUCAGUGAAGUGGCAGACGGAGUUUAAUAUGGCACUGUGGAAGCAUCCUCAUUAGACUACAGCAGUUCAAGAAGGCUCACUACCACCUUCUCAAGGCAUUUAGGAAUCAGCAAUAAAUCCUGACCUUGGCAAGAAAUGGCAAAACUGUGAAGAGAGGGCAAGGUCUCGGUUUAAGAGUCAAUGUAAUAGAAACACUUCCACCAGCAUCUGUGUAUCCAUGGACAAUCAAUUUUGUGCUUUUGGUGUGGAAUUAAAAUCUACACCUUCUUCAUGCAGAGGUGGGUGCCACUGUAAUGUAGUGGUUAAUGCAUUACAGCUCAGGCUAUUACAGCAUCUGGAGUUUGGAGUUCAAUCCUGGGAUCCUCUGUAAGGAGUCUCUGUACGCUCUCCCUAUGGAAUGCUUGGGAUUCCCCCCAGUACUCUGGCUUCCUCCCAGAGUUCCAAGACAUACCAGAUAUUAAUCAGACAGUCAUAUUCUUCACUCUGAUGGAGGUACACUGGUACCCUGCUGUGUAUCAUCUCACACAGUGCCGAUUGAUUAUAGCCCACUUGUUCUUCAGACCUAAACGCUCACAGGUUCCUGCCAAAGCUGGCUACUGUGCUCCAUCCCUUGAAUUCAUUACUACAGAUUGGGAAGAAUUGGUAACGGAGAAAACUGUGUGAGGUGGCUUUCCAAAAGACAAAGGAGUGGUGACGUCAGACACUGAUCUCACACAUUAUGAUCCACAUCGUCCAGUGACACUUACCCAUGACACCUCGCCUUAUGGUACAGGUGCAAUCAUGUCACAUGUAAUGAGUGAUGGGAGUAAACACCCCAUAGUCUUUGCAUCAUAUUCCCCUGCAGAAAAAAAAUUACACACAAUUUGUCAGAGUGGCCUUGAGUCUGGUUUGGGAUGUAAAAUAUUUCAACCAGUACUUGUAUGGGAGAGAGUUUACCAUCAUCACUUAAUAUCGAACACUCGUGUCCAUUGUCGAUCCACAGAAGGGCGUUUACUGUUGGAAAAGGAAAUACUGAAAAAUUUACGACAGUCGACAAUCCUCUUGACAUAUUCUACCUAAAGUCUCCCUAUGAGGGCAGCAAUGAUCCAAAGGGAAGCUGUCUCAAGCCUGUACAGCAACCCAAAUGGCUGGAAUGUGCAGCAGGAAGUCCAGUUCCCCCAUAUUUACCAUCCAAGCUGAGAGCUAAAGUGUUGGAGGCACUACAUACCGGUCAUCUCGGCAUGGUCAAAUUGAAAGCAUUAGUUUGAAGUCUUGUCUACUGGCCUGGGAUGGAUCAGCUUGCCAUGCACUGCUCGAUGUGGCAACACAUCUGGAAGAAUGGUGCCUAGAGCUGUCAGAACCUCUUCCUGCAGUCCCAGAGUCAACUCUACAUCAACCAUGGAGGAUUCCUCAGAACCUGAGGUUGCUUUUCAGCCACAAGUCUCAUCCCCCAGCCCUUUCAGGAAAUAAAUUAUCCCACAAGAGUAAGGAAUCCUCUGUAGCGAUUAGAUCUUUAUGCCUGAAUGAAGCAAUGCUGUAGAUGUCUGUAUAGUAGUUGUAUUAAAUUGUAUACUGUGAUAGGUAACUACAGAGCAAUAUGUUAUAUAUUUGAAUUGAGAUGCAUUCUAUAUUGAGUUGUUUAUAACUAAGCAGGGAGGAGUGUAAUGUAAUAUUUCAGUAAUAUUUGAGUAAUAUUGUAAAAAUAUUGUUUGAUUAAGCAUUCUUUGUUGUUGGGAUAAUUCAUUGCUGUUU